UACGGAGGGUGCAAGCGUUGUUCGGAAUUAUUGGGCGUAAAGGGCGUGUAGGUGGCGCUCCAAGUCUGGUGUGAAAGCCCACGGCUCAACCGUGGAACUGCAUUGGAAACUGGGGCGCUCGAGUAUUGGAGGGGGUCGCGGAAUUCCCGGUGUAGAGGUGAAAUUCGUAGAUAUCGGGAGGAACACCAGUGGCGAAGGCGGCGACCUGGCCAAUUACUGACACUGAGACGCGAAAGCGUGGGUAGCAAACAGG
RNAcentral lists this ribosomal RNA (253 nucleotides) under uncultured bacterium. Its description in RNAcentral is "partial 16S ribosomal RNA". It matches the Rfam family "Bacterial small subunit ribosomal RNA", at positions 524 to 776 of the family's 1533-position model. The record is from RNAcentral.